GCCAGCAACCGCGGUAAUACGGAGGAUCCAAGCGUUAUCCGGAUUCAUUGGGUUUAAAGGGUCCGUAGGCGGGUCUUUAAGUCAGUGGUGAAAGCCGACGGCUCAACUGUCGAACUGCCAUUGAUACUGGAGACCUUGAGUACAAAUGAAGUAGGCGGAAUGAGUCAUGUAGCGGUGAAAUGCAUAGAUAUGACUCAGAACACCGAUUGCGAAGGCAGCUUACUAACAUGUAACUGACGCUGAGGGACGAAAGCGUGGGGAGCGAACAGGAUUAGAUACCCUGGUAGUCCACGCCGUAAACGAUCAUCACUCGCUGUCGGCGAUAUACUGUCAGCGGCCAAGCGAAAGUAUUAAGUGAUGCACCUGGGGAGUACGCCGGCAACGGUGAAACCCAAAGGAAUUGACGGGGGCCCGCACAAGCGGUGGAGCAUGUGGUUUAAUUCGGUGAUACGCGAGGAACCUUACCAGGGCUUAAAUGUAGUAUGACCGGCUUAGAAAUAGGCCUUCUCUUCGGAGCAGAUUACAAGGUGCUGCAUGGUUGUCGUCAGCUCGUGCCGUGAGGUGUUAGGUUAAGUCCUGCAACGAGCGCAACCCCUAUUCUUAGUUGCCAGCGGUUCGGCCGGGGACUCUAAGAAGACUGCCAGCGCAAGCUGAGAGGAAGGUGGGGAUGACGUCAAAUCGUCACGGCCCUUACGUCCUGGGCUACACACGUGCUACAAUGGUAGAGACAGAGGGCAGCCACCUGGUGACAGGGAGCGAAUCCUUAAACUCUAUCUCAGUUCGGAUCGAAGUCUGCAACUCGACUUUGUGAAGCUGGAAUCGCUAGU
RNAcentral lists this ribosomal RNA (827 nucleotides) under uncultured marine bacterium. RNAcentral describes it as "bacterial SSU rRNA". It matches the Rfam family "Bacterial small subunit ribosomal RNA", at positions 507 to 1339 of the family's 1533-position model. The record is from RNAcentral.